AUGAAAUUGUACUCUACCUGUGAGGAGCCUGUGGGGUCACAGGGCCUUCUUCGAAGUCUUCUCAUAGGGCCUUUGAAAGACGGCCCACAGGAACCCAGGGCUGUAACAGUGAACUUCCUAAUCGACCCUGGCAGGGUGGAACAAGGAGCCCAGGAGUUGAGAGCAAACAUGUCCAAUGUCUUGGCAACACUCAGGAUCUGGAAGCUGACCUGGAAGCAGUCAGAAGACUGGAAAAGUGCAGGCUGAGUCAAGAAAACUGUGAAGCUCAGUGACCAUUUCCAGCAAAGACAUUCUGGCACCAAUGGCUUGCUGCCUAGAGGAGACACUGGAGCAGCCUACAACUUCUGGUAUUCAGCAGCGUUUAUCCAUCCAUACAACCUUGGGACAUUCUUUUAACUUUAGUGGUUAAAUAACAAGGUGAUGUUUUCUGUAACAUAAUAGAAAAAAAAAAACAGAAGCAUUCUGUGGAGUGAUUUCAAACAAACAAACAACACCCCCACCCCCACAAUCCAUUAACAAUGGAAAACAGCAAAUCAGAGACAAACAUAUGGAUUAAUCUCAUUAAGGAGAAGCAUAGUGCUUGAAGCCCCCUUUCUUCCUAUUUUCUUCCCUCUGCUUUUGUUUUUUCCUUGCCCAAGGAAAUCAGUGAAAAGGACUUUUUUUUUUUUUUUUUCAGGCUUUUGGAGUAGUUUUCAAAGACUGCUGGCAGCACAGAGGCUUUAUCUUUUAGAAGUCAUGUGCAACUAUAUCUGUAAUAAUCUAUGAUAGAUGAAGUGAUAACGUACAAUAUGUCUUAGGCAUGGCAAAAUGAGAGCUGUGAAAAAAUUGAAAACUUAACAUGAUAGAUGGCCUUUCUUGAAUUACACAAAGUAACUGGUUCAUUCUUAAUUUAAAACUUGGUGGCUGAUGCAUAAAAAUUUAAAGUGUUUUAAAUCCAUAUGUUUUUAACAGGAGAAAGACUCUUACACUGAAGAAUGAUAUUCAAGUCGCUCUUAGAUAGUAUAAGGUUUAUUCUAACAAGAAACACACUUUUUUAUUGUUAUAUCGAUUCCACUUGUAAUUAAUAGUGUAUGGUUUACUAUUGUCUUUUUAUAUACAAAAUUCUACAAAAGACAUUAAGACCAGGUACAACUGAUUUCUUAAGAGUUUAUGUGGGGAGGAGAGUACAAUUGCAUAUUUUGAAGGUAUUCUGUAAAUGUAAAUUGUAGCUGACACAAAUCAACAGGAACUAGAUUAUCUAAUCAGCUCUCGGCUCAUAAUCUCUCUCUAAAUUUAAUUGAAGUGGUGGAGACUGUUUUCUUCUGGAGUUUGAAUAAGGUGUCAUUUUCAAUCCGCACUUCUUUUUGUUUAUGUAUUUUUGAAUGUCUGAUAUCAUCUCUUCUUCUGUCAGUGCUGAACUCUAAGUUGGUGUUAAAGGUCUAGCAAACUCUUCUGGGUAAUCUAAUCAUUGCCCAACAUGCUAGCAAUGCCAUGGCUUAUCCAUUUUGAUGGUCAUUUUUGUUUGCAGGUCUGCAUGCAAUAGGAAAUAGAGUGUGACACAUGAUAUAUUUUAUACCAGCUGUGAAAGAAUUAAGAUCUAGCUUCAGUUUAGGGAAGAAUUUCAGCAACUGCAUAUUAAUGAUGCCAUGGAACAUAAUCAUGCGCUUAGUCUUAUGCCAAAUGUGGUGAAUUGGUGAAUUGAGGCCUCACUUGUUUUGACCUUCACAGGAAAUACGAUGGUCAGCCAGAGGUGAAUGUCUCCAUAAUCAAAUCACAAAGCUCGGGAUACUUCCAACCCACUUCUAGACACCUCUCUCACUUCAAUUAGCAAUCCAUCAAAAUUGAAAAGUAAAGCAGGGGAAGAGAUGUGUUUAGCUCCUUCCUGGUACUGGGAAGCUAGCCGCUGAAUAUGUUACUUUAAUAAAACCCAUGGGAAGCUUGGAAGGCUUGCA
RNAcentral lists this long non-coding RNA (1931 nucleotides) under Anas platyrhynchos platyrhynchos (common mallard). RNAcentral describes it as "lncRNA (ENSAPLG00000022806.1)". The record is from RNAcentral. Lineage: Eukaryota; Metazoa; Chordata; Aves; Anseriformes; Anatidae.